Molecule: ribosomal RNA, 301 nt
Filed under: uncultured bacterium
Lineage: Bacteria
Description: partial 16S ribosomal RNA
Rfam family: Bacterial small subunit ribosomal RNA
Source: RNAcentral
CAGCAGCCGCGGGAAUACGGAGGGCGCGAGCGUUACCCGGAUUUACUGGCGUAGAGGGCGUGUAGGCGGCCUGGGGCGUCCCAUGUGAAAGGCCACGGCUCAACCGUGGAGGAGCGUGGGAUACGCUCAGGCUAGAGGGUGGGAGAGGGUGGUGGAAUUCCCGGAGUAGCGGUGAAAUGCGCAGAUACCGGGAGGAACGCCGAUGGCGAAGGCAGCCACCUGGUCCACUUCUGACGCUGAGGCGCGAAAGCGUGGGGAGCAAACCGGAUUAGAUACCCGGGUAGUCCCUGUCUCUUAUACA